AUAGUGCACGUGUCGUGCGGGUGAGAAGCUGCGCUCAGGUUCGAGCCGAGCGGAUGCGAGACAACAACGCGCUAGCGUUGGCCCGUAGGGUGAGGCCAGAGGCCGAAUUAUCCUGCACGACCCACCA
Molecule: small RNA, 127 nt
Filed under: Prodigiosinella confusarubida
Lineage: Bacteria; Pseudomonadati; Pseudomonadota; Gammaproteobacteria; Enterobacterales; Pectobacteriaceae
Description: Serratia sp. ATCC 39006 RtT sRNA
Rfam family: RtT RNA
About the family: This family represents a bacterial cis-regulatory element known as RtT RNA.
Source: RNAcentral